This 329-nucleotide unclassified non-coding RNA is filed under the name soil metagenome. Its description in RNAcentral is "partial contains 5.8S ribosomal RNA, internal transcribed spacer 2, and large subunit ribosomal RNA". The stretch from base 1 to 121 matches the Rfam family "5.8S ribosomal RNA", at positions 35 to 154 of the family's 154-position model. The record is from RNAcentral.
GAUGAAGAACGUAGCGAAUUGCGAUAAGUAAUGUGAAUUGCAGAUUUUCAGUGAAUCAUCGAAUCUUUGAACGCACAUUGCGCCCCCUGGUAUUCCGGGGGGCAUGCCUGUCCGAGCGUCAUUACAACCCUCAAGCUCAGCUUGGUGUUGGGCCCCGCCGCCCCGGCGGGCCCUAAAGUCAGUGGCGGUGCCGUCCGGCUCCGAGCGUAGUAAUUCUUCUCGCUCUGGAGGUCCGGUCGUGUGCUCGCCAGCAACCCCCAAUUUUUUCAGGUUGACCUCGGAUCAGGUAGGGAUACCCGCUGAACUUAAGCAUAUCAAUAAGCGGAGGA